This 254-nucleotide unclassified non-coding RNA is filed under the name uncultured Gemmatimonadota bacterium. RNAcentral's name for it is "uncultured Gemmatimonadetes bacterium contains 16S-23S intergenic spacer region". It matches the Rfam family "Bacterial small subunit ribosomal RNA", at positions 524 to 776 of the family's 1533-position model. The record is from RNAcentral. Lineage: Bacteria; Pseudomonadati; Gemmatimonadota.
GACGGAGGGCGCGAGCGUUGUUUGGAAUUACUGGGCGUAAAGCGCGCGCAGGCGGAUGUGGCAAGUCGGGAGUGAAAGCCCGGGGCUCAACCCUGGGACCGCUCUCGAUACUGCUCGUCUAGGGACCGGUAGAGGCCGGUGGAAUUCCCGGUGUAGCGGUGGAAUGCGUAGAGAUCGGGAAGAAUACCUGUGGCGAAGGCGGCCGGCUGGGCCGGGUCCGACGCUGAGGCGCGAAAGCGUGGGGAGCAAACAGG